RNAcentral lists this ribosomal RNA (336 nucleotides) under uncultured Vibrio sp. RNAcentral's name for it is "bacterial SSU rRNA". It matches the Rfam family "Bacterial small subunit ribosomal RNA", at positions 191 to 507 of the family's 1533-position model. The record is from RNAcentral. Lineage: Bacteria; Pseudomonadati; Pseudomonadota; Gammaproteobacteria; Vibrionales; Vibrionaceae.
UGCCUUCGGGCCAAAGAGGGGGACCUUCGGGCCUCUCGCGUCAGGAUAUGCCCAGGUGGGAUCAGCUAGUUGGUGAGGUAAGGGCUCACCAAGGCGACGAUCCCUAGCUGGUCUGAGAGGAUGAGCAGCCACACUGGAACUGAGACACGGUCCAGACUCCUACGGGGGGGCAGCAGUGGGGAAUAUUGCACGAUGGGCGCAAGCCUGAUGCAGCCAUGCCGCGUGUAUGAAGAAGGCCUUCGGGUUGUAAAGUACUUUCAGUCGUGAGGAAGGUAGUGUAGUUAAUAGCUGCAUUGCUUGACGUUAGCGACAGAAGAAGCACCGGCUAACUCCGUG